Molecule: ribosomal RNA, 253 nt
Filed under: uncultured bacterium
Lineage: Bacteria
Description: partial 16S ribosomal RNA
Rfam family: Bacterial small subunit ribosomal RNA
Source: RNAcentral
GACAGAGGCCUCGAGCGUUAGGCGGAAUCACUGGGCUUAAAGCGUGUGUAGGCGGGCCCGUAAGUGUCUUGUGAAAUCCCACGGCUCAACCGUGGAACUGCUGGGCAUACUGCGGGUCUUGGGCCAACUAGGGGCAGCCGGAACAAGCGGUGGAGCGGUGAAAUGCGUAGAUAUCGCUUGGAACGCCGAAGGUGAAAACAGGCUGCUGGAGUUGCGCCGACGCUGAGACACGAAAGCCAGGGGAGCAAACGGG